RNAcentral lists this ribosomal RNA (254 nucleotides) under uncultured bacterium. RNAcentral's name for it is "partial 16S ribosomal RNA". It matches the Rfam family "Bacterial small subunit ribosomal RNA", at positions 524 to 776 of the family's 1533-position model. The record is from RNAcentral.
UACGUAGGGUGCGAGCGUUAAUCGGAAUUACUGGGCGUAAAGCGUGCGCAGGCGGUUAUUUAAGUCAGGUGUGAAAGCCCUGGGCUUAACCUAGGAAUUGCGCUUGAGACUGGAUAGCUUGGAGUGCGGCAGAGGGAGGUGGAAUUCCACGUGUAGCAGUGAAAUGCGUAGAGAUGUGGAGGAAUACCGAUGGCGAAGGCAGCCUCCUGGGCCAACACUGACGCUCAUGCACGAAAGCGUGGGGAGCAAACAGG